RNAcentral lists this ribosomal RNA (251 nucleotides) under uncultured prokaryote. Its description in RNAcentral is "partial 16S rRNA". It matches the Rfam family "Bacterial small subunit ribosomal RNA", at positions 525 to 775 of the family's 1533-position model. The record is from RNAcentral.
ACGAAGGGGGCUAGCGUUGCUCGGAAUCACUGGGCGUAAAGGGCGCGUAGGCGGCGUUUUAAGUCGGGGGUGAAAGCCUGUGGCUCAACCACAGAAUGGCCUUCGAUACUGGGACGCUUGAGUAUGGUAGAGGUUGGUGGAAGUGCGAGUGGAGAGGUGAAAGGAGAAGAGAUAAGGAAGAACACAGGUGGCGAAGGAGGAAAACUGGACAAAAACUGAAGCUGAGGAGAGAAAGCGAGGGGAGAAAAAAG